CUUGGUAUUGAAGAUUUUUUUAAGGUUCCGACAAAUGACAAAUCCCUAACCCAAAACAGAAAAUAAGAAUAAUUUAUAAAUAGAAACAGUUUCCAGUAAAACCCAAUUCCAGUAAGAAUAAUUCAUAAACAGAACCCAAUUCCAGUAAAAUCCAAACAGUUGUAAAGUUUAAAGUUUACUAAUUCCAGUACAAAUAAAAUAUUUAAUUCCUCCAAAAAAAUCAAAGUGAUAAAAUAAAUUAAAUUGGUUUGGGUGGAAUAGUAUUGCACAUGGAAUGAGGUUAUUAAUAUAGGGCGCAUAUUUGGGACGGUACCGAUUUCAGUGAGGUACCUGGUCACGUUCAACCGUCCGCCGCGAUCCUCCACUGCGGAUUCCGGAACCACGAGGUCCGAAAUCCGCGAACUCGCCAUUCCGGAACCGACGAUUCCGGAAAUCGUUGGUUCCGGAACUCACCAUUCUGAAACCGGUUCCGGAAAUCGUCGGUCCGUCCAAAUUGCCAAUUUUUUCCUUUUGGAUCUCUGGUUCGGUAUCGAUGGGGGUGAAAAAUCUGUGGGAAAUACUUGACUUCUGCAAGAAAACCCUUCCCCUCAGUAACCUCGAGUAAUUUCAACCAUCAUCGUGUUUUAUUCACUGAUAAAACCCAUAAACCCAUCAUGACGGUCCGAGGAUCACAGACGUGCCGCAGGAUGCGGGGUGGGUGUCGUCUGUGAUCCUCGGUGUAUUAAUAUAAUAUAUUCAGGAACAUUAUUAUUGUUGGUACAUAAUUGGUACAUUAUUAUUAUUGGUGGUAUAUAGUCAAGCAACCCAAAUACCCAAUUACAUCUCAACAAGUAUCAAUGGCUUGACCAUGAGUGCACGUCCAUUUUCUCUCAAAGAAGGUACAUCUGGACAACUAGUCGACUACGUGUUGGAAAACCAUGCUUCAACUACGUAUAUAAAAGAGAGCGAUCAUGUGAAAGAUAGCAAGAAAGAUUAUACCUCAACAAAUAUUUUCCAAGAACCAAUUGCUCGAGCAUCGCAAAGAUUCAAAAAACUUUAGCCACAGCCUGUUUGAUUUUGGUAUAAACAUUAAACAGGAUCAAACAUUUCUUAUGAUUUUCUUUUCACCCAAAUGAAUUUUCACCCAAAUAAUAUGUAGAAACAAGAUCAACAAAUAAAUACCAGAGAAGGCUGAUGAGAUUUCCAGAUAGGGUUCUCGGAGAAAAUAUUUCCAGCAAAGAAGCAACAGCCGUGAAGAAGAGAUUCCCGGAGAAGAUUAAGGAUGGUCGGGGACGACGGGGAGAAGAUUUAUGAAAAUUGUAAAUGGGUCGCGGGGGUAAGAAGGGGGAGAGGGGAAUAGAAUAUAUUAAAUAUUGUAAAAUUUAUAUAUUAACUCUUAAAAAAUAUUAAUAUAUUGUGAAAAUUGUAUUUAAC
Molecule: long non-coding RNA, 1413 nt
Filed under: Zostera marina
Lineage: Eukaryota; Viridiplantae; Streptophyta; Magnoliopsida; Alismatales; Zosteraceae
Description: long non-coding RNA (ZMAR_LNC002879)
Source: RNAcentral